GCUUCUCCCCAGGGAGAAAGAAAGUGGCGCUGGAGAGAGUGGCUGGCCGGCCGGCUUGGUGCUUGCUUCCCCUGCUCUUUGGACUUCAUGGUUCGGAUUUGGAGGUGGUUGUUUGUGGGCCAGUGCGCGUCUUCCGCCCCCUCUCCUCCCAAACACCCCCGAACUCGGUCCUUUGGUGGUGGUGGGGAGGCCGAGUGUUGUUUGGCCCCCUUUGGGUUGCUUUGUGUGGAUCCUCCCGGAAAGGGGGUGGCCUUCUGGAGUCGGGCGGGGAGGGGCCGCCGGGAAAGCGGUGGAGGUGGGAGAUGCGCCACUCGGGCGCCUUUGCAUCUGGGAAAGGGAAGGGGGGGGGGCAAGGAGAACUCGCCUGCAGUUGCCUGGUUGAGGGACACACAGCAGAGCCCGAAGACCGGGAGGAAGCGGGGAGUCUCCAGCAGGGCUUCAUGACAUCAUGAUGGAAAAGGGUGUAGUCCUUAAGGUGCAGUUGGUGGAGGUGCGAGAUGGUGUGUUGCUUGGGGAGAAGGUCUACCCCGCAGCCUUGUCCUCCCGCAUUCUCUGGAAAGCAUUCCCAGCUCCAUUGCAAUGGGGGGAAAGUCGUUGGGAACAACAACACAGAACCCUGAAACCCUCCUCCAGUCUAGGGGCCCUUCUUGUCUCAUACCCGAAUAGCAGAGCAAAAACAUCCUCUGGAAAGCAUUUCCAGUACCAUUGCAAUGGGAGGAAAGUCGUUGGGAACAACAACACACAACCCUGAAACCCUCCUCCAGUCUACGGGCCCUUCCUGUCCCAUAUUCCACAGAAAAUUCCACAAUAUCUGCUUUGAACUGGGUUAACUGAGUCGUGGGAUUUUCUGCCUUGAUAUUCUGGGAUAUAGGGCUGUGUGGAAGGGCCUUAGAGGUUGGACUUGCCUUCACCUCUCUCUCCUUCCUGUAAAUGUAAGGUGGUCCCUUUUCUGCAAAGGCCUGCAAGUGUUUUGUUGUGGUUUGAGAGGAACAAUGAAAUAAUCAAAGGGGAAAACGUAGCGCAGGGCAUGAGCUGGGAGCAGGUGCUUUUGCCCCGCCUGACAUAAUGAGAUCCCCUUCCUCGCCUUCAAGGUUUGGAGUCGCUGGUUGUCUGCGUUGGUAGAUUCACUUCAAGGACAGGAGAGCUGUCAUUGCAAAGAGAGAGGAGCAUUGCAAACAUUUCAGAUCUCUGCUCCGCAGGUUUUUAUUUUUACAGAUAUUCCACCUCCCUUUUGGUCUUUAGGUGUAAGCGAUUCUUGCCUAGCCACCAGGUUUCAAUAGACAAACCUGGAAAUGGAUUUGAAAUGGGGCUGAACAUUAAGAGAGAAGGGAGCUGGGGCUUGGAUGCACACCAAAGGCAUCUUCUUCGAGGCUUCUGGGUGUGAAAGUGUUGAUCAUUAUGGUGGGACAAUAAAAGAUGGUGCAUUGUGUUCUGCUUUUGCUUUUUUUAAAGGCAGCCUAGCUUUGCCCAUCUGUUGUCUAAAGGAUUUAAUAGGCGUUUCCAUCUCCAGCUGCUGCCUCUGUUCUGCCUGUUUUCUUGCUGCCUUGCAUGGCAGCAGCUCUGCAGUCCCUGCAAUUUUCUUAGGGACGGAGGAGAAAUCCAGAUCUUUCUCUGAAAGGGGCCAAGCUUUUCCUGCAAUGAUUGAUUGCAAAGCCCCGCUCCUUCAGCCUCCCCCUCAAGCCCCAUAGCAACCGCUUGUAGAUUGGAAUGGUUAUGAGGAUGGCAUCGCUUGGAAAUGGAAAGCGACUUCUGUUUGUUUUCUCGUCCUAUUCCAUGUACUGCAGUGAUUUAAUGGAUCUGCUCACCUUUAUUUUUCACAACGCGAAGUUUAAUAAUAAUAAAAAAGAUUUUUCUUCACCUCCCCCCAAGGUAAUUCACUGUGAAAUACAUCUUGAUAUGAUAUAAACAAGGAGCCACAGAAAAAUAAAAGUCAUACCAAAACGAUUGCAGUGUCAUAGGGAGCCAAUGAAAAUGCAGUAUCCGCUAACCAGAGGUAAUCCCUUGCCAUAUUGGCUGCUGACUAUAGAAGAGGCCUUAUCCUCAUCAUGGUUUUUGCUUUGUAAUAUCAGAAGUUUCCCCUCUCAGCCCAAUUGUGUAUGUUGCUACAAAUGGAGCACCAUUAAGUUAUAUUUCAGACACUCCUGCGUGAGCUUUCUCAGAGGCAGAUCCUACUGAGUUCAACAGGACUUACAGCUAAGUAAGUGAGCAGAGAACUGCAGCCUUUGGGUCCAAACCACAUGGUGUGGUAUUAUGCUCCAUCAGGGUGAGCUGUAAUUUCCUCCUCCCCCUUCCUUUGCUAAUCUUCCUAUCUUCCUCCUAAGUGAUUAGAGAAGGAGGGAGGGUAUGUGUGUGUGUGUGUGCGCGCUUGUAUGUAUUUAGAGGUUUCCUGCUGCCUGAUUUUGGAGCUCUUUGACAAACUGAACUGCAGCAAAGAUUCCUCUUAGUGAUUUUAGUUCUAACUCUAGCUGGGCACCUGUUUCUGGCCAUGUGCACAUAUGUAUGUACACACAAUGUAGCGUGAUAAAGAGGCAGUAGUGAAAAGCUUUAAAAGGUCUCUCAUCUUUCGACAACAACCUUCUUGACACCUACUUGGGUACAAGUUCUACUAAACCAAGCGAGACUAUUCUAAAGAAAACAUGCACAAAAGCGGGUAUGUGUGUCAUCUGUAACCAGAUUAAAAAAGAAUCAGUCACAAUACUGGACUGGGCAGUCUGUGUCCAUUAACUCAGUGUUUCUUAAAGAGAAAGAAAUGCUAUGCUUUCGGUGUGGGAGAAUUAGAAUAUUCAGAUGCUGGAGAUGGUACAGCCUUGUUAUGCUGAAGUGGCAGGUAAUUCAAUAAAGUUGCCCAGACAUUCUGCAACUACAAUAGCGCUAUAAUGAAGAAGAUCAUAGAAUUAAGUGAGGGCAAGGUGGGAAAUGGAAAGUGCUUGUUGCUUUUUUGAAAGGUAAUUUGUUCAAAUGUAAUAUAUCCUCUUAUCGGCAGGGAAUGUGAUGUUCACAACUAUUCUUAUCCUCUUCUUAAGCAGAAGAAACCUAUUUUUGUCAGGGAGCUCACUAUUACUCUCAAUUGUUUAAAUUGGGAUUGCACACCUGUUUUGCUCAACAACAGUACUUUGGUUCUUCAGGUGUUUUGGACUUCAACUCCCAGAAUCCCCAGCCAGCUGAUCCAGUAGUCAGGCAUUUUGGGAGAUGAAGCCCAAAACACCCGAGGACCAAAGUUAGGGUACCACUCCUUUACAAUAUAUGCUGUAUUUUUCAGGAUCAAAAAGCAAAGGAAAUUGGGGAUCAGUUUCUGGCUCAUGUUAACAGUCACAGCCUUGCAAGGAAAAGAGCUCUCAGGUGUCACCCGAACUUUUGACUAGCUGCCCUCAGUCUCCCCGAGGGCUUAAAAUGCUGGUGUUCCUAAUGAGUAUAAAUCAAGAAAUGUUUGCAGACAAGACCCCUCUGGCUUCUGCAAAGCAGCCCAGAUGCCGUGUCUGUGCUAUCAGUGGAAGCUGGUGACAUCUGGUCCUGGAUAUGUAAAACUGACCUGGCAAAACAUACUCAGGAUGCAUUUCAAAGGCCUGGGUGAUGACUGUGCUGAUUCUCAUUCAAAGCAGGGGAAGCAAAGCUUGUCCUGAGGAGCCUCUAGAGCUGGCACAUCAGGCUUGCAGAAAAUGAUUGAUGUCACAAAGGGAGGAUUAUGGCCUCCUGCUUUCAAAAGCAAGAGGGGGGAACUGAGCAAAAGGCUGCAAAACAUUUGCAUGCAGCCUUUCCAUAAUAUGGGCAGUGUGGCAAGAGCCGGGGGAAGAAAUUCUUAAUAAUGCAGUAAGAUGCAAACUGUGGUGCUGGGGACAAUCAGUUCCUUGGCUACAAAACCAAGGGGACAAUUUUCCAGGGCCCUAAAUAUGAAAUGAGCCACAUCAGCAUGGAUGGACAAUAUCUUUGGAGAAAAGAAGAAAGGGAACCCAUUCAGCCCCCUGGCUUGUCAAAGUGUGUAAAUGUCCUGUUUUGUCCCAUUAGAAUUAUUCUGCAGGGAUGCAUCUUAUCUCUGUUAGUGAACAUCUACACAAAACUAUUCAAAGCAGUUUUGAAAUGCAGGGUGCAUCAAUAUGGCAAGGAAACCCGAAUAUUGCUCAGAUUGCUUUCAGAUAAUAAAGUCUCAAAGCAAAUGUAAUAA
Molecule: long non-coding RNA, 4159 nt
Organism: Anolis carolinensis (green anole)
Lineage: Eukaryota; Metazoa; Chordata; Lepidosauria; Squamata; Anolidae
Exons: 2
Source: RefSeq, a predicted model, not a curated record